RNAcentral lists this transfer RNA (80 nucleotides) under archaeon. Its description in RNAcentral is "tRNA-Ser". It matches the Rfam family "tRNA". Rfam says of the family: Transfer RNA (tRNA) molecules are approximately 80 nucleotides in length. Their secondary structure includes four short double-helical elements and three loops (D, anti-codon, and T loops). Further hydrogen bonds mediate the characteristic L-shaped molecular structure. tRNAs have two regions of fundamental functional importance: the anti-codon, which is responsible for specific mRNA codon recognition, and the 3' end, to which the tRNAs corresponding amino acid is attached (by aminoacyl-tRNA synthetases). tRNAs cope with the degeneracy of the genetic code in two manners: having more than one tRNA (with a specific anti-codon) for a particular amino acid; and 'wobble' base-pairing, i.e. permitting non-standard base-pairing at the 3rd anti-codon position. The record is from RNAcentral. RNAcentral also lists the same sequence under 2 other names.
GCCCACAUCGCAUAAUGGUAGUGCACCGGUCUUGAACACCGGGCCCUUGUGGCAUCCCGGUUCGAUUCCGGGUGUGGGCG